GGCGAAAGGAGAACACGUGUUGCGAUAGGAGAGGGAGGAAGAGAGCGAAAAAGUGAGGGUGAGGUAUGGCGUUGGAAGCGAGAAGAAAAAGUAUUUGAAGGGGAAGAGGAGGCGCGAGAAGAGAGCUGGAGCGUCUACUGUGGAUUUCUUGCUGCAUUGCUACUAAAGUUUUACCCUCUUCAAAUUUUUAGGACGAUUUGAUUUAAAACCGCCAAAAAUAUAGGAAAAUGAUAUUUUGACACCAUUUUGACACUUCACAUGUGUCAAGAUAUGUGGUUGGACGAUUUCAAAUUAAAAAAAUAAACUUUGGUUUUUC
RNAcentral lists this long non-coding RNA (316 nucleotides) under Vigna radiata. RNAcentral's name for it is "long non-coding RNA (VRAD_LNC013080)". Lineage: Eukaryota; Viridiplantae; Streptophyta; Magnoliopsida; Fabales; Fabaceae. The record is from RNAcentral.